UAAGAGUUUAUGAUAUUAUGAAAUGUCAUCUCUGAAUACAAUUGCCAUGGGGGAUCUAUUAGCUUUCUUCCAUCUGUUAAUAACUGAUUCCUAGCAGGGAAUACAUUUUCCAUAGAGCAGACAUUCAGUAAAUAUUUAUGAAUUUGAAUGGACUUGAAUACAGGUUACCUUCAAAGCUCGGAUAUGAAACAUCUCAAGAGAUGUACUCAAGAGUUGAAGUUUAAUCUUUCGAAGAGGGAUCACGUUUCUCCUACAAAAAGCUUGGAUUUCAUGUUUCCAAAAUGAAGACCACUCUAUCCACUAAUAUGGAGAAAGUAAUAAAGACCAAUAUCUGGAUUUUAGGUUUGCUUCUAUUGAGGUCCAAUGUCUAUAUGUUUUGUUUCAGGUAGCAGACAAAAGUGAUAGAGUCUGUGCUUUCUCAGUCUCUGAUCAUUUUGCCUAUGACUGAUGAAUCCAAGCAACAAAGACAAAUAACCAUUGUCUGGAGGAUGGGCAGCUGUGACUUCUAAGAGAGACUUGCGGAAGAUUCUGAGGCCAAGUCUGCAUGCGGAAGGAAAGACACUGUGAUUGAUGAGCCUUUUCUGUCAGGUGGAAGAACAGGGAAGAGGGGCAAGCACACCAGGAAUUUGUCUUCUCCUCUGGGUUCUGGCUAUGAUGUCAGAGGGAUCUCAGGAUCAUUUCUUCAAGGGAAUUCAGUGAUAUAUGGCUUUUGUACUAUAGGAUUAGAGUAGUUCCACUAAGAGGGCUUUUCAGGGAUGCCUUUCAGGAAGCUUUGCCAGACUUUCUCCACUUACAUAUCUCUGUUCGUGUUUUGUUUUCUUGGUUGGGCAUGCGUUGGAAGGCAUUAUUAGCUGAGAAAAACUAGUUUAUCACACAUUUUAAGAAGCAAUAGCACCGAUUCCUUUCAAUUUAGGCAUUUGUUCAUUUAUUUCAACUACAGAUACUUCUGUAAAGACUAUUAGGAGGCAGGCACUUUGUUAGGGACGGGGUUUACAGUGCUGGGAGAAGAAUGUUCUCGCCGUCCCGGGGGUUCUUUUAGAGUUGAGUGCCUUUAAAAUUACUUUAUUGGAAGGAUCUUCUAAGUCCAGUUGACUCCUAGAAUGUGCCAUCUGGUAUCCUAGGUGUUGUGGAUGGGACAGUGACUAAAACACUAAAGCACAGUUCCUACUUUCAUGAAACUUCCAGUUAAAUAUACAGUAUAAUGUCAGUGAAGCAUGUUAUAAAGGAAAGCAGAAGGUUAAUAGGAAGGGAAAGGCUAGUCAGGGAAGUUCUCUAUGUGUAUAUAUAUAUAUAUAUUUUUUUAACUUGAAGCAGAGCUAUGAAUGAAGACCUUUGUGAAGACCCAUGGGAAGAGAGAAGAGGCAACCAGAGGAAAGGUCAUGAGGCUCACACCCGGCAUGUGAAAAAAUUGAACUUCCUGACUCCUCAUGGAUGGGAAGCCAUGCCAUCUUCACCAUCAUGGCCUGAGAAGUAUACCAAAGCCAGGGUUCUAAAUCUUAUCUGAUUUAUAACACUAAAGUAACCCUAUCGAUCUAAACUUGAGAAGAAAAUAAGAAACAAAACAGUCGAAAGAGGAUGACCAAAAAUAAGGUGUCCUGGAAGAACAUCAGUGGUAAGUAGUCUCUAAGAUGGCCCCCAAUGAUCCCAGCCUCCUAGUAUUCAUGUCCUUGCAUGAUCCCUUCCCCUUGAAUGUGGGCUGCACUUGGAGACUCGCUUCUAAUGAAUAGAAAAUGACAAUUAUGACUGCCACUUCUGGAUUCAGUUACAAAAGACUGGCUUCCAUCUUUGGCUGCUCCCUCUUGUUUUCUUGCUCACUUGGUCAAAGGGAAGCCAGCUGCCAUGUUAUAAGCUGCCCUGUGGACAGGUACCUGUGUAAGGAAAUGAGAAAGGCCUCCUCACAGCCAGUGAGGAACUGAGCCAGUGAGGAACCAGUGAGCCAGUGAGGGACUUGAGGCCCUCAGUCCAGCAACCUGUGAGGAACUGAAUCCUGCCAAUAAUCACAGAAGUGUCCUUACCCCAGCCAACAGUGUGACUGCAAGGUCAGGAAAGACCUUCAGCCAGCCACAUCCAAAUUCCUGAUUCCAGAAGCUGAGAUAAUAAAUGUUUUCUGUCUCAAGCUGCUAACUUUUGAGGUAAUUUGUUAUAUGGCAAUAAAUAAUACAAUACCUUAAGUAUAUCCUGGAGCACAAUGCCAAAGAAUAUAAAUGCAAAGCUAUGGGCUUCUGAGAGUGUAUUUUAAACGUGUCUGGGCUGAAUCCAAUUGCCAUAAAGGAAAUAGUCCUUUUAGCUAAAUCAUGAAGACCAUGUGUCAAAAGCAGAAUCACUUGUUAAGACCAAGCUAUUCCUUGAUUAUACUCACCCUUAUCCGUGUGCAACUCUUCAUUUCUCAGCUUCUCUUCCAGUUAGAUUCACCACGUGGCUAGUUCUGUCUGGUGGAAUGUAAAGGUAAACUGUUUUACUUCUGGUUGAUUUCUUCCCCUAAUAUCCUGGCUCAACUUGAAACCAGAGGAUGGUGAGACCCCAAGAUGGAAGGGGCAUGUGGUAAGAGAGAGAAAUAAGUUCAAUGGUAUUAAGCCACUAGGAUUUCAGGUUUUAUUUGUUACCAUGGUGUAGCCUGUCAUAUCCUGACUACUAUAUUCAGUAAUAGUUAUGAUGUAAAGGGUAGCACGUCCAUUGAAAUAACAGUUUUUAAGUAUCCUGACUGGUCUAUAUAGAGAGAGACAAUAUCACUUGUCUAAUUUGUAGGGCAGGUUCUUUGUAUAUUUUCAUUUUCCCCCUAGGGAGAACACUUUUCUCCUCCACCACAGUGGUUUGGUUACACAGUCUAGAGGGGACCUAGAUGCAGUCUGUGCCCUGGAAAUCUGCCACCUGCAUAUUCCACUCCUGUCCCAUUUAACCUUGAUAACCAAUUUACCGGUAUGUGAAACUUAUAUAUUUCUGGUAGUAUUUUGUGUGCUUGUUUUUCUUUUUCUUUUCAUUUCUUUUAUGAUACAGAUACAUUCUUGGAUUCCUUCAGCUCUUUAGAAACUGACAAAUGGCAAGAGUAUAUGCUUUAAUAAAGAACUAUCUGUUUUAAUAAAGAACAAUUUCUCAGUCCUUUUUUAAAAGUAAUCUCGGGACACCUGGGUGGCCCCGUUGGUUAAGUGGCUGCCUUCAGCUCAGGUCAUGAUCCCAGG
This is a long non-coding RNA of Mirounga angustirostris (Northern elephant seal), 3176 nucleotides long. RefSeq lists it as uncharacterized. The transcript is spliced from 3 exons. NCBI's taxonomy places the organism in Eukaryota, Metazoa, Chordata, Mammalia, Carnivora, Phocidae. The record is from RefSeq and is a predicted model, not a curated record.